UGCGAGCUUCGAGGAGGAGCGGGUGCGAGCUGUGGCCCCGGAAGGGCCCACGGAGAGGUGACUUUGGGACCGAAACCCGAGUGACUUCUAGGGGAAAGUUUAUAUGGACUAUAAUGCAACCACUCCCCUGGAGCCAGAAGUUAUCCAGGCCAUGACCGAGGCCAUGUGGGAAGCCUGGGGAAAUCCCAGCAGCCCGUAUUCAGCAGGAAGAAAGGCCAAGGAUAUUAUAAAUGCAGCUCGGGAAAGCCUCGCGAAGAUGAUAGGGGGGAAACCUCAAGAUAUAAUCUUCACUUCCGGGGGUACUGAGUCAAAUAAUUUAGUAAUCCAUUCUGUGGUGAAACAUUUCCACGCAAGCCAGCCCUCAGAGGCACACACAGGUGCGCACCACAGCCCAGUGAAGGGGGCCAAGCCCCAUUUCAUUACUUCCUCGGUGGAACACGACUCCAUCCGGCUGCCCCUGGAGCACCUGGUGGAAGAACAAGUGGCAGCGGUCACCUUUGUCCCAG
RNAcentral lists this small RNA (506 nucleotides) under Pongo abelii (Sumatran orangutan). RNAcentral's name for it is "processed transcript". The record is from RNAcentral. Lineage: Eukaryota; Metazoa; Chordata; Mammalia; Primates; Hominidae.